UUCAUUAUCUGUUUAGAUUGUAUUGUUAUAGUAAAAAAAUUUAAAAUAUUUAUGUUUUAAACCACUUUAGCGUCGCCAUGGCAUAUCAGCGAAAAUGUGUGCAAAAAUUUUUAUAGCCCACAAAAAUAUGGAAAUAUAGUUGGUAAAAUGCCCUCGAUACAGCAAGCCAACGCAAUGGAAUUCACAAGUACAUGUAAAAUAAGUGCCCAUAAAGACGUACAGAUAAAAAUAUAUUUGCGUAUAGAGCAGAAUUUAGCGAGAAAAAUUGUUGAAGCAUUUUUUGUGGUUUAAUACAGGUGUGCUGCCGAUAGCAGGCUAAGCUUGUGGUAACAUGUUGUGGAUUAAAGAGUGCACAUAAUGGCAGUGAAAUAUUGUGCAUUGUGGUACGCUACAUACAACAGCAUUUUCGAUAAAAUUGAAUACUUACAAAAAUGUUAAGCUUAUCGGAAUUGAAAGUUGGCGGAUCUCAUAUUUAAAAAAUUUUAAAGGUCGCUUGGGGAAAAAUAUUGGAUUGCCCGUGUUUUAAUUACUCCAACCGAAUGUAUGCGAACUAGACCGAAAGACAAUGGUUCUAUGAGGAUUGUCGUAUCGCAGUGGAGCGACUGUCCAUCUUACAACGAUAUACUGCAACACUUGUCAAGUAGUAGAUAUAUCGAGAUCUGAAGAGAAAAGCGGGAAUCAUAUUUACAGACUACAAAGUUACAGACGGAAAUUUGUGAGUCUGAAGAGCUUGAGAAGAAAUGUUUAAAAAUGCUUUUGAAAAAACACAGAAGCUUUCAAGCCUCGAGAAUAUUCAUGCAUAACCAAAAGAAUUGAGCUGACGACUGAUGUCUAAAUUUUACUGAGUCUAUGGAGGGAAUACUUCGCCAGCCUAGUUUUCUCGCAGUGAAGAUGCAACCCAUGACAUUCUCUUGACCGUCUAUGAGAAAAGCCGAAGACUCACCAGUUCUGUUAUUCAAAUUUGGUGGCUAAGAACUGUCCGGCGAGUGCAUGGCUCACAAUUAGAAGCUAAAUAUGUGUACUCUGCCUAAUCCAUAACAAAAAGUGAUCACAUAAACUAACUAUCUUGUGUCAAUAAAGCAUAAGGGAAUUUAUGUAGUGUGAAAGAAA
This is a long non-coding RNA of Ceratitis capitata (Mediterranean fruit fly), 1110 nucleotides long. RefSeq lists it as uncharacterized. NCBI's taxonomy places the organism in Eukaryota, Metazoa, Arthropoda, Insecta, Diptera, Tephritidae. The record is from RefSeq and is a predicted model, not a curated record. The transcript is spliced from 2 exons.